AGCAGCCGCGGUAAUUCCAGCUCCAAUAGCGUAUAUUAAAGUUGUUGCAGUUAAAAAGCUCGUAGUUGAACUUCAGGCCUGGCUGGGUGGUCAGCCUAUCGGCAUGUACUGGUCUUGCUGAUUCCUCCCUCUUGACGAGUCGUAAUGCCAUUAAUUUGGUGUUGCGGGGAAUCAGGACUGUUACUUUGAAAAAAU
This 195-nucleotide ribosomal RNA is filed under the name uncultured Paraglomus. RNAcentral's name for it is "partial 18S ribosomal RNA". It matches the Rfam family "Eukaryotic small subunit ribosomal RNA", at positions 569 to 766 of the family's 1831-position model. Lineage: Eukaryota; Fungi; Glomeromycota; Glomeromycetes; Paraglomerales; Paraglomeraceae. The record is from RNAcentral.